This 446-nucleotide ribosomal RNA is filed under the name uncultured bacterium. RNAcentral's name for it is "bacterial SSU rRNA". It matches the Rfam family "Bacterial small subunit ribosomal RNA", at positions 329 to 792 of the family's 1533-position model. The record is from RNAcentral.
GUCCAGACUCCUACGGGAGGCAGCAGUGGGGAAUAUUGCACAAUGGGGGGAACCUUGAUGCAGCAACGCCGCGUGGGUGAAGAAGUACUCCGGUAUGUAAAGCCCUGUCAGCAGGGAAGAAAAUGACGGUACCUGACCAAGAAGCCCCGGCUAACUACGUGCCAGCAGCCGCGGUAAUACGUAGGGGGCAAGCGUUAUCCGGAUUUACUGGGUGUAAAGGGGGCGCAGACGGCAAUGCAAGCCAGGAGUGAAAGCCCGGGGCCCAACCCCGGGACUGCUCUUGGAACUGCAUGGCUGGAGUACAGGAGGGGCAGGCGGAAUUCCUAGUGUAGCGGUGAAAUGCGUAGAUAUUAGGAGGAACACCGGUGGCGAAGGCGGCCUGCUGGACUGUGACUGACGUUGAGGCCCGAAGGCGUGGGGAGCAAACAGGAUUAGAUACCCUUGUA